GGGUUGUGAGGUUAAGCGACUAAGCGUACACGGUGGAUGCCCUGGCAGUCAGAGGCGAUGAAGGACGUGCUAAUCUGCGAAAAGCGUCGGUAAGGUGAUAUGAACCGUUAUAACCGGCGAUGUCCGAAUGGGGAAACCCAGUGCAAUUCGUUGCACUAUCGUUAACUGAAUACAUAGGUUAACGAGGCGAACCGGGGGAACUGAAACAUCUAAGUACCCCGAGGAAAAGAAAUCAACCGAGAUUCCCCCAGUAGCGGCGAGCGAACGGGGAGCAGCCCAGAGUCUGAAUCAGCUUGUGUGUUAGUGGAACGGUCUGGAAAGUCCGACGGUACAGGGUGAUAGUCCCGUACACCAAAAUGCACAGGCUGUGAACUCGAAGAGUAGGGCGGGACACGUGGUAUCCUGUCUGAAUAUGGGGACCAUCCUCCAAGGCUAAAUACUCCUGACUGACCGAUAGUGAACCAGUACCGUGAGGGAAAGGCGAAAAGAACCCCGGCGAGGGGAGUGAAAAGAACCUGAAACCGUGUACGUACAAGCAGUGGGAGCACCUUCGGGUGUGACUGCGUACCUUUUGUAUAAUGGGUCAGCGACUUAUAUUCUGUAGCAAGGUUAACCGUAUAGGGGAGCCGCAGGGAAACCGAGUCUUAACUGGGCGUUAAGUUGCAGGGUAUAGACCCGAAACCCGGUGAUCUAGCCAUGGGCAGGUUGAAGGUUGGGUAACACUAACUGGAGGACCGAACCGACUAAUGUUGAAAAAUUAGCGGAUGACUUGUGGCUGGGGGUGAAAGGCCAAUCAAACCGGGAGAUAGCUGGUUCUCCCGAAAGCUAUUUAGGUAGCGCCUCGUGAAUUCAUCUUCGGGGGUAGAGCACUGUUUCGGCUAGGGGGUCAUCCCGACUUACCAACCCGAUGCAAACUACGAAUACCGAAGAAUGUUAUCACGGGAGACACACGGCGGGUGCUAACGUCCGUCGUGAAGAGGGAAACAACCCAGACCGCCAGCUAAGGUCCCAAAGUCAUGGUUAAGUGGGAAACGAUGUGGGAAGGCACAGACAGCCAGGAUGUUGGCUUAGAAGCAGCCAUCAUUUAAAGAAAGCGUAAUAGCUCACUGGUCGAGUCGGCCUGCGCGGAAGAUGUAACGGGGCUAAACCAUGCACCGAAGCUGCGGCAGCGACACUAUGUGUUGUUGGGUAGGGGAGCGUUCUGUAAGCCUGCGAAGGUGACCUGUGAGGGUUGCUGGAGGUAUCAGAAGUGCGAAUGCUGACAUAAGUAACGAUAAAGCGGGUGAAAAGCCCGCUCGCCGGAAGACCAAGGGUUCCUGUCCAACGUUAAUCGGGGCAGGGUGAGUCGACCCCCUAAGGCGAGGCCGAAAGGCGUAGUCGAUGGGAAACAGGUUAAUAUUCCUGUACUUGGUGUUACUGCGAAGGGGGGACGGAGAAGGCUAUGUUAGCCGGGCGACGGUUGUCCCGGUUUAAGCAUGUAGGCUGGUUAUCCAGGCAAAUCCGGAUAAUCAAGGCUGAGGUGUGAUGACGAGGCACUACGGUGCUGAAGUAACAAAUGCCCUGCUUCCAGGAAAAGCCUCUAAGCAUCAGGUAACAUCAAAUCGUACCCCAAACCGACACAGGUGGUCAGGUAGAGAAUACCAAGGCGCUUGAGAGAACUCGGGUGAAGGAACUAGGCAAAAUGGUGCCGUAACUUCGGGAGAAGGCACGCUGGUGUGUAGGUGAAGUCCCUGCGGAUGGAGCUGAGACCAGUCGAAGAUACCAGCUGGCUGCAACUGUUUAUUAAAAACACAGCACUGUGCAAACACGAAAGUGGACGUAUACGGUGUGACGCCUGCCCGGUGCCGGAAGGUUAAUUGAUGGGGUUAUCCGUAAGGAGAAGCUCUUGAUCGAAGCCCCGGUAAACGGCGGCCGUAACUAUAACGGUCCUAAGGUAGCGAAAUUCCUUGUCGGGUAAGUUCCGACCUGCACGAAUGGCGUAAUGAUGGCCAGGCUGUCUCCACCCGAGACUCAGUGAAAUUGAACUCGCUGUGAAGAUGCAGUGUACCCGCGGCAAGACGGAAAGACCCCGUGAACCUUUACUAUAGCUUGACACUGAACAUUGAGCCUUGAUGUGUAGGAUAGGUGGGAGGCUUUGAAGCGUGGACGCCAGUCUGCGUGGAGCCAACCUGAAAUACCACCCUUUAAUGUUUGAUGUUCUAACGUUGGCCCCUGACCGGGGUUGCGGACAGUGUCUGGUGGGUAGUUUGACUGGGGCGGUCUCCUCCCAAAGCGUAACGGAGGAGCACGAAGGUUAGCUAAUCCUGGUCGGACAUCAGGAGGUUAGUGCAAUGGCAUAAGCUAGCUUGACUGCGAGCGUGACGGCGCGAGCAGGUGCGAAAGCAGGUCAUAGUGAUCCGGUGGUUCUGAAUGGAAGGGCCAUCGCUCAACGGAUAAAAGGUACUCCGGGGAUAACAGGCUGAUACCGCCCAAGAGUUCAUAUCGACGGCGGUGUUUGGCACCUCGAUGUCGGCUCAUCACAUCCUGGGGCUGAAGUAGGUCCCAAGGGUAUGGCUGUUCGCCAUUUAAAGUGGUACGCGAGCUGGGUUUAGAACGUCGUGAGACAGUUCGGUCCCUAUCUGCCGUGGGCGCUGGAGAAUUGAGGGGGGCUGCUCCUAGUACGAGAGGACCGGAGUGGACGCAUCACUGGUGUUCGGGUUGUCAUGCCAAUGGCACUGCCCGGUAGCUAAAUGCGGAAGAGAUAAGUGCUGAAAGCAUCUAAGCACGAAACUUGCCCCGAGAUGAGUUCUCCCUGAGACUUUAAGUCUCCUGAAGGAACGUUGAAGACGACGACGUUGAUAGGCCGGGUGUGUAAGCGCAGCGAUGCGUUGAGCUAACCGGUACUAAUGAACCGUGAGGCUUAACCUUACAACGCCGAAG
This 2919-nucleotide ribosomal RNA is filed under the name Klebsiella pneumoniae. RNAcentral describes it as "23S ribosomal RNA". It matches the Rfam family "Bacterial large subunit ribosomal RNA". The record is from RNAcentral. Lineage: Bacteria; Pseudomonadati; Pseudomonadota; Gammaproteobacteria; Enterobacterales; Enterobacteriaceae.